AGAUGUUGAAGUUUCUGGGAAGAGAAAUCCGGUUCCACGUGUGGAGCAUCUCUCUGCAGAGCGUUUGUGUUGUACUGGUCUGUCGUACUCUCACGACAGUUCCCGUCGUGUUCUGGAAGAAUGAAAGUGUAGGCACAUUGCCCAUGUUGAAUCCGGUUAUAUCUUCUCCCACCGUUUUCUGGACUUCGGCGCUGGUUGCUGCACCCUAUGGUUCAAGAAUGUCAGCAGGGCUAUGGCAGUGGUAGCUAUGUCUACAAGGAAGCACUUGGCUAUAAUCCCUGGAGGCAGAGCCAAGACCCCUUCACUCAACUAUGUAGGCAUCAAAGGUAUCCACAACAGAUGGAAAUACCAUAGGGUGCCAAAACAGAAAAACAAGAAGAUGGAGGAUAUCACCUGGUGACUGAUGGCACUUUACUUGAUUCCUAGAUGAGAGAAAAAUGCAAAGGUCUCUCUGUCUCAACUUUUACAACUUCAGAAAGAACAUGUAUUUUACAUCUUCUCAGAAACUCAGAAAGAACAUGAUUGGAAAGGAACGGCUAGAAUCAUCAUGUGAUGAAUCAUGGAUGGUGACUAAUCCUUGUAGCCAAAACUGAUAAAUAACCUCCACUGAGCAGUGACUAGAGGGUAUAUAAGACUUUCUGUGAUUCUGUUUGUGAUUAGAGAGCUGUGACAACCUCUGCUCAUCAGAGGGUGGAUGAACUGUUCAGUAGUGGUUAAGGGGGGAGGCAAAUUGCUUUGUUUUUGCUUAUUUCUUGUUUAUCCUAUUAAACAAAAUUGAAUUACA
Canis lupus familiaris (dog) is the source of this 784-nucleotide long non-coding RNA. RefSeq lists it as uncharacterized. Lineage: Eukaryota; Metazoa; Chordata; Mammalia; Carnivora; Canidae. The record is from RefSeq and is a predicted model, not a curated record. The transcript has 3 exons.